This 324-nucleotide ribosomal RNA is filed under the name Triticum aestivum (bread wheat). RNAcentral describes it as "partial small subunit ribosomal RNA". The record is from RNAcentral. Lineage: Eukaryota; Viridiplantae; Streptophyta; Magnoliopsida; Poales; Poaceae.
AUGGCUGUCUCCAUGGGCAUACAGCGCCUGGAAGUGCGCGGGGACUCAAACCUUGCAAUAUCUCAAAUAAAUGGGGACUUCGAUGCCAAAGAUCCGAAGAUGGCAGCUUAUCGUAAUGUCGUCCUAAAAAUGUCGACUCGUUUUGAGGGGCUCGAGUUCCAUCAUGUGGCUCGAGAAAGUAAUCAAGCGACGGACGUUCUUGCUCGUAUCGGCGCCAAGCGCGACCUCGUCCCACCCAAUAUCUUCCUGGAAAGGCUUUUUAAGCCAUCCAUGGUAUGGCAGGGGGAGAGCGGCAACACUAGUCGGGAUCCGAACACAACUCCA